UAUAUGUUCAAUAGCCAUAAUCUGUUAUUUAUCACAUAUUAACGUCCUUUUUUUUCUUUUCUUUUCUGCAUUCUGAUGAAUGUCGUUUUAACGUGGAACUGUGUAUAUUCAUAUCAAUUUAUAUGUUUCUGUUUUCCUCCAACAGGCGAUUUCCAUCUUCGUGUCCGCCUACACUCUGGUGGCAAUCAGCGUGGAUCGUUACUUGGCGAUUAUCUAUCCACUGCGACCUCGGAUGACCCGCCUGCAGGCCAAGGUCAUUAUUGGUGCUGUGUGGCUGUUGGCGCUCCUCACCACACUGCCCAUUGCAGUGUUCUCCCGCCUCCAAUUCUCUUGAGAGGAGAAGCUACCAGUACUACGAGCGUGAGGUGUGCAUGGAGUACUGGCCUGAGGAAGUCCUCAAGCCCUACUACACCCUGGCGCUGAUGGUGCUUCAGUAUUUCCUCCCGCUGGUGGUCCUCAUCUUCACGUACUCCAGGAUAAUUUGCCAAGUAUGGGGACAGCCAGGAUCACCGCACAAACAUCAAAGGACCAUGCAGGUGA
Penaeus monodon (black tiger shrimp) is the source of this 540-nucleotide long non-coding RNA. RefSeq lists it as uncharacterized. Lineage: Eukaryota; Metazoa; Arthropoda; Malacostraca; Decapoda; Penaeidae. The record is from RefSeq and is a predicted model, not a curated record. The transcript has 3 exons.